GACUAACUCUGAUGGAAGUGGUAUCUUUUUCUAAAAUUCAUUUUUAGAAAAAAUAUAACGUACAGCAGGAAAAUGG
Molecule: small RNA, 76 nt
Filed under: Flavobacterium sp. 9AF
Lineage: Bacteria; Pseudomonadati; Bacteroidota; Flavobacteriia; Flavobacteriales; Flavobacteriaceae
Description: Flavo-1 RNA
Rfam family: Flavo-1 RNA
Source: Rfam by way of RNAcentral